This 433-nucleotide ribosomal RNA is filed under the name uncultured bacterium. Its description in RNAcentral is "partial 16S ribosomal RNA". It matches the Rfam family "Bacterial small subunit ribosomal RNA", at positions 29 to 507 of the family's 1533-position model. The record is from RNAcentral.
AACGAACGCUGGCGGCAGGCCUAACACAUGCAAGUCGAGCGAGAUCUUCGGGUCUAGCGGCGGACGGGUGAGUAACGCGUGGGAAUAUGCCUCUUGGUACGGAAUAGCCUCGGGAAACUGGGAGUAAUACCGUAUGUGCCCUUUGGGGGAAAGAUUUAUCGCCAAGAGAUUAGCCCGCGCUGGAUUAGGUAGUUGGUGGGGUAAUGGCCUACCAAGCCGACGAUCCAUAGCUGGUUUGAGAGGAUGAUCAGCCACACUGGGACUGAGACACGGCCCAGACUCCUACGGGAGGCAGCAGUGGGGAAUCUUAGACAAUGGGGGCAACCCUGAUCUAGCCAUGCCGCGUGAGUGAUGAAGGCCUUAGGGUUGUAAAGCUCUUUCAGCUGGGAAGAUAAUGACGGUACCAGCAGAAGAAGCCCCGGCUAACUCCGUG